Planococcus citri (citrus mealybug) is the source of this 813-nucleotide long non-coding RNA. RefSeq lists it as uncharacterized. The transcript has 3 exons. Lineage: Eukaryota; Metazoa; Arthropoda; Insecta; Hemiptera; Pseudococcidae. The record is from RefSeq and is a predicted model, not a curated record.
GAUUAGAAUUUUGUUAAAUGUCGAUCUACCUUUGUACACGAUAUACACAUUAUAAUGCGAUUUCAAGUCGAGAUUAAUUCGUUAUUAAGUACAUAAUGUGUAAAGUAGUUAACUCGAAGGUAUAAUCACUAUGCAAAACUAAAUUAAUUUCGUCAUUUCGAAGAGGUGCAUUUACGUUACAUUCGAGAAGCUUGCCUGUGUAAGGAAAUUCGCCUUAUUUUAUCUGCGUUGUGCCGAGUGCGUGCGUGCGUUCGUACAUUCGUCGUUGUCGAAUCGUGAAAACGUGUUAAUUAUUGCUCUCGGUCUCGUGGUUUAUUGUGUAGUUGUGGAUUGUGGGUCUAUUAGUUGAGUUGAUCGACAUUACGAGAUACAUUUUGCCUUUACUCGUGUCUGUAGUCUGUAUGUGUGGUGAAAUAUCAUCAGGUGUAGUGUUAUUCCCUGUGAGAUAGCAAUGUCUUACAUGUGUAAGAUUGUUAGACGUUAAUGAAUGAUGCGAAGAUUCGUAUGGAAUCGUUGAUCGAAGCUGUGAAAGAAACGAAUACGAAAGAAACCAUCGAGGAAAAUGGAAGCCUGACUGAAUUACGAGACAAUAUACCUAAGAUUUUCUCAUAAUGAUGAGAACAUCAGUCUCGAGCUGGAAAAGAAACGCCUGACGUACGCAUAAAAAACCUCAUACGUAGGUAUUUAAAGGUAUUAUGGUAGUAAAAAAAAGAUUUGACUCAGGUUUAACAAUGGUCUGGAUUAUGGAGUCACUGGUAUUAGGGUAAUUUUUUUCUGUAUCAGAAGACAAAUAAACUUUUUUUUGUUUUGUUA